This 400-nucleotide ribosomal RNA is filed under the name uncultured bacterium. RNAcentral describes it as "bacterial SSU rRNA". It matches the Rfam family "Bacterial small subunit ribosomal RNA", at positions 340 to 757 of the family's 1533-position model. The record is from RNAcentral.
UACGGGAGGCAGCAGUGGGGAAUAUUGGACAAUGGGCGAAAGCCUGAUCCAGCGACGCCGCGUGAGCGAUGAAGUAUUUCGGUAUGUAAAGCUCUAUCAGCAGGGAAGAAAAUGACGGUACCUGACUAAGAAGCCCCGGCUAACUACGUGCCAGCAGCCGCGGUAAUACGUAGGGGGCAAGCGUUAUCCGGAUUUACUGGGUGUAAAGGGAGCGUAGACGGAAGUGCAAGUCAGAAGUGAAAGCCCGGGGCUUAACCCCGGGACUGCUUUUGAAACUGUGCAUCUAGAGUGCAGGAGAGGUAAGCGGAAUUCCUAGUGUAGCGGUGAAAUGCGUAGAUAUUAGGAGGAACACCGGUGGCGAAGGCGGCUUACUGGACUGUAACUGACGUUGAGGCUCGAA